GGUCAAGUUAUUAAGGGUGCAGGGCGGAUGCCUUGGCACUAGGAGCCGAUGAAGGACGUGAUAAGCUGCGAUAAGCUUCGGGGAGUUGCACGUAAACUUUGAUCCGAAGAUUUCCGAAUGAGGAAACUCACUUAGAGUAAUGUCUAAGUAUCAUUAAGUGAAUACAUAGCUUAAUGAGGGGAACUCAGGGAACUGAAACAUCUAAGUACCUGAAGGAAGAGAAAGAAAUUCGAUUCCGUAAGUAGCGGCGAGCGAACGCGGAUUAGCCCAAACCAAUAAAGUUUUCUUUAUUGGGGUUGCGGACAUAUCAUAACGAAGAGGUAUCGUAAUUGAAGAGGUUUGGAAAGACCCACCACAGAAGGUAAUAGUCCUGUAUGUUAAACGAGAAGACUUCAGAUAUGAUCCAGAGUACCACGGGACACGUGAAACCCUGUGGGAAGCAGGAGGGACCACCCUCCAAGGCUAAAUACUACCUAGUGACCGAUAGCGUAUAGUACCGUGAGGGAAAGGUGAAAAGAACCCCGGGAGGGGAGUGAAAUAGAACCUGAAACCCUGCACUUACAAGCUGUGGAAGCACAUUUCUUGUGUGACCGCGUACUUUUUGUAGAACGGGCCAACGAGUUACGUUAAGUAGCAAGGUUAAGCACUUAAGGUGCGGAGCCGUAGCGAAAGCGAGUUUUAACUGAGCGUUCAGUUACUUGACGUAGACCCGAAACCGGGCGACCUACCCAUGAGCAGGAUGAAGCGAAAGUAAAAUUUCGUGGAGGUCCGAACCCACGAGCGUUGAAAAGCUCGGGGAUGACUUGUGGGUAGCGGUGAAAUUCCAAUCGAGCCCGGAGAUAGCUGGUUCUCCCCGAAAUAGCUUUAGGGCUAGCCUCAAGGUGAGAGAUACGGAGGUAGAGCACUGAAUGUCCUAGGGGGUAUUGCACCUACCGAAGACUAUCAAACUCCGAAUGCCGUCAUCUUAUACUUGGGAGUCAGACUGUGGGUGAUAAGAUUCAUAGUCGAAAGGGCAACAGCCCAGAUCGUCAGCUAAGGUCCCUAAAUGUAAGUUAAGUGGUAAAGGAUGUGGGAUUGCACAGACAACCAGGAUGUUGGCUUAGAAGCAGCCACUCAUUCAAAGAGUGCGUAAUAGCUCACUGGUCGAGUGAUCCUGCGCCGAAGAUUUCCGGGGCUAAAACUUACUACCGAAGCUACGGCAUCAGUAAUGAUGGGUAGGGGAGCUUCCCAUACGGGUUGAAGCAUGACCGUAAGGACAUGUGGACAGUAUGGGAGUGAGAAUGUUGGCAUGAGUAGCGAGAUGUGGGUGAGAAUCCCACAGGCCGUAAACCCAAGGUUUCCAGGGGAAGGUUCGUCCGCCCUGGGUUAGUCGGGACCUAAGCUGAGGCCGAAAGGCGUAGGUGAUGGACAACAGGUUGAU
This 1420-nucleotide ribosomal RNA is filed under the name Clostridioides difficile. RNAcentral's name for it is "partial 23S ribosomal RNA". It matches the Rfam family "Bacterial large subunit ribosomal RNA", at positions 1 to 1434 of the family's 2925-position model. Lineage: Bacteria; Bacillati; Bacillota; Clostridia; Peptostreptococcales; Peptostreptococcaceae. The record is from RNAcentral.